AUGGCAUCCUCCGGCUCCUCCAACUCAACCCUCUCUGGCCAGAUCACCGAGCGCCUCACCAGCACCAACUAUAUCCUCUGGCACAUCCAGAUCACGCCACAACUUCGAGGCAUGGGUUUAUUCAUGUAUGUUGAUGGGAGAAUACCCGAACCGGCCAAAGUCAUCGUCACCAAGGAUAACGAUGCCAAGGAGGAGUCCAUCCCCAAUCCUCUUCACCAUGUGUGGAUCCGAGAGGAUCAACAGGUACUGGGAUAUCUCCUGAAUAACCUCUCGAAGGAAAUGCUCAUGUAG
RNAcentral lists this ribosomal RNA (291 nucleotides) under Triticum aestivum (bread wheat). RNAcentral describes it as "partial small subunit ribosomal RNA". The record is from RNAcentral. Lineage: Eukaryota; Viridiplantae; Streptophyta; Magnoliopsida; Poales; Poaceae.